Molecule: ribosomal RNA, 169 nt
Filed under: uncultured rumen bacterium
Lineage: Bacteria
Description: partial 16S ribosomal RNA
Rfam family: Bacterial small subunit ribosomal RNA
Source: RNAcentral
UACGGGAGGCAGCAGUGAGGAAUAUUGCACAAUGGGGGAAACCCUGAUGCAGCAACGCCGCGUGAGCGAAGAAGGUCUUCGGAUCGUAAAGCUCUGUCCUAAGGGACGAAGAAGUGACGGUACCUUAGGAGGAAGCCCCGGCUAACUACGUGCCAGCAGCCGCGGUAAU